Molecule: ribosomal RNA, 431 nt
Filed under: uncultured bacterium
Lineage: Bacteria
Description: partial 16S ribosomal RNA
Rfam family: Bacterial small subunit ribosomal RNA
Source: RNAcentral
AACGAACGCUGGCGGCAGGCUUAACACAUGCAAGUCGAGCGCCUCGCAAGUGUAACGGCAUACGGGUGCGUAACGCGUGGGAACGUACCCUUAUCUUCGGAAUAGCUCUGGGGGACUGGAAGUAAUACCGAAUGUGCCCUUAGGGGGAAAGAUUGAUCGGAUAAGGAUCGGCCCGCGUUGGAUUAGCAAGUUGGUGGGGUAAAGGCAUACUAAGGCGACGAUCCAUAGCUGGUGUGAGAGGAUGAUCAGCAACAUUGGGACUGAGACACGGCCCAAAAUCCUCCGGGAGGCAGCAGUGGGGAAUAUUGGACAAUGGGGGGAAGCCUGAACCAGCCAUGCCGCGUGAGUGCUGAAGGCAUUAGGGAUGUAAAGCUCUUUCACCGGAGAAGAUAAUGACGGUAUCCGGCGAAGAAGCCCCGGCUAACUUCGUG